This 22-nucleotide microRNA is filed under the name Pongo pygmaeus (Bornean orangutan). RNAcentral's name for it is "ppy-miR-3155a". The record is from miRBase by way of RNAcentral. Lineage: Eukaryota; Metazoa; Chordata; Mammalia; Primates; Hominidae.
CAGGCUCUGCAGUGGGAACGGA